This 2324-nucleotide ribosomal RNA is filed under the name Rhodococcus (subgen. Prescottella) equi. Its description in RNAcentral is "Rhodococcus hoagii partial 23S ribosomal RNA". It matches the Rfam family "Bacterial large subunit ribosomal RNA", at positions 1 to 2087 of the family's 2925-position model. The record is from RNAcentral. Lineage: Bacteria; Bacillati; Actinomycetota; Actinomycetes; Mycobacteriales; Nocardiaceae.
ACAGUGGACGCGAGCAUCUUUGUUGUAAGUGUUUAAGAGCGUACGGUGGAUGCCUUGGCACCAGGAGCCGAUGAAGGACGUAGGAGGCUGCGAUAAGCCUCGGGGAGCUGUCAACCGAGCUGAGAUCCGAGGAUGUCCGAAUGGGGAAACCCAGCCACAGUGAUGUGUGGUUACCCGCGCCUGAAUAUAUAGGGCGUGUGGAGGGACGUGGGGAAGUGAAACAUCUCAGUACCCACAGGAAGAAAACAACAUGUGAUUCCGUGAGUAGUGGCGAGCGAAAGCGGAAGAGGCUAAACCAUGGGUGUGUGAUAGCCGGCGGGCGUUGCAUUCGUGGGGUUGUGGAUCCGUCUUGUCAAUUCUGCCGGAUUGGCCGACAGUGAGAAAUCAUCGUGUUAGUCGAAGUGGUCUGGAACGGCCUGUCGUAGAGGGUGAGAGUCCCGUAGACGAAAACAUGGUGACUGUCGUGACGGACACCCGAGUAGCAGCGGGCCCGUGAAAUCUGCUGUGAAUCUGUCGGGACCACCCGAUAAGCCUGAAUACUCCCUGGUGACCGAUAGCGGACUAGUACCGUGAGGGAAAGUGAAAAGUACCCCGGGAGGGGAGUGAAAUAGUACCUGAAACCGUGCGCUUACAAUCCGUCAGAGCCUGCGCCACUUUGGUGGGUGGGUGAUGGCGUGCCUUUUGAAGAAUGAGCCUGCGAGUUAGCGGCAUGUCGCGAGGUUAACCCGUGUGGGGUAGCCGUAGCGAAAGCGAGUCCGAAUAGGGCGUUUGUAGUGGCAUGUUCUAGACCCGAAGCGGAGUGAUCUACCCAUGGCCAGGGUGAAGCGACGGUAAGACGUCGUGGAGGCCCGAACCCACUUAGGUUGAAAACUGAGGGGAUGAGCUGUGGGUAGGGGUGAAAGGCCAAUCAAACUCCUGAUAGCUGGUUCUCCCCGAAAUGCAUUUAGGUGCAGCGUCGCGUGUUUCACUCUGGAGGUAGAGCUACUGGAUGGCCGAUGGCCCCACAAGUUACUGACGUCAGCCAAACUCCGAAUGCCAGAGUGUGAGAGCGCGGCAGUGAGACUGCGGGGGAUAAGCUUCGUAGUCGAGAGGAAACAGCCCAGAUCGCCGGCCGCUAAGGCCCCUAAGCGUGUACUAAGUGAAAAGGAUGUGGGGUCGCGAAGACAACCAGGAGGUUGGCUUAGAAGCAGCCACCCUUGAAAGAGUGCGUAAUAGCUCACUGGUCAAGUGAUCCUGCGCCGACAAUGUAGCGGGCUCAAGUACACCGCCGAAGCCGCGGCAUUCACAUAACCCCAUGCGGGUCUACGGGCCUGUGUGCAGUGGUGUGGAUGGGUAGGGGGGAGCGUCGUGCAGCCAUGGAAGCGCCGGAGUGAUCCAGGUGUGGAGGCUGCACGAGUGAGAAUGCAGGCAUGAGUAGCGAAAGACGAGUGAGAAACUCGUCCGCCGAAUGACCAAGGGUUCCUGGGCCAGGUUAAUCCGCCCAGGGUGAGUCGGGACCUAAGGCGAGGCCGACAGGCGUAGUCGAUGGACAACGGGUUGAUAUUCCCGUACCGUGUGAACGCGCCCCUGGUGAAUCAGUGAUGCUAAGCGCCCUGAAGCCGCCUUCGAACCUUCGGUUCUCCGGUGUGUGGAUGCGCGUGAACCGAUCUGGUAGUAGCCAAGCGAUGGGGUGACGCAGGAAGGUAGCUGAGCCAGUCAGUGGUAAUACUGGUGUAAGCGUGUAGGGCGUGACCUAGGCAAAUCCGGGUCACACACAGCCUGAGACGUGAUGCGUAGCCGAUUGAGGCGAAUUCAGUGAUCCUAUGCUGCCGAGAAAAGCCUCUAGCGAGCUUUCACACGGCCCGUACCACGGCCCGUACACCGACACAGGGUGGUCAGGUAGAGAAUACUAAGGCGAUCGAGAUAACUGUGGUUAAGGAACUCGGCAAAAUGCCCCCGUAACUUCGGGAGAAGGGGGGCCUCGUCUGGUGACGGAACUUGCUUCCUGAGCUGGGUGGGGCCGCAGAGCAGCCAGAGAGAAGCGACUGUUUACUAAAAACACAGGUCCGUGCGAAGUCGUAAGACGAUGUAUCGGACUGACGCCUGCCCGUGCCGGGUGCUGGAAGGUUAAGAGGACCGGUUAGCCAGUAAUGGCGAAGCUGAGAAUUUAAGCCCCCAGUAAAACGGCGGUGGUAACUAUAACCAUCCUAGGUAGCGAAAUUCCUUGUCGGGUAAGUUCCGACCUGCACGAAUGGCGUAACGACUUCUCUGCUGUCUCACCACAGACUCGGCCGGCUAAAUGGCAUUACGAGUAAGAUGCUCGUUACGCGCGGCAGGACGAAAAG